RNAcentral lists this small RNA (663 nucleotides) under Pan troglodytes (chimpanzee). Its description in RNAcentral is "processed transcript". The record is from RNAcentral. Lineage: Eukaryota; Metazoa; Chordata; Mammalia; Primates; Hominidae.
GGAGGCGUAAUUCAUAAAUAGAUAAAUAUAGGAAAGGACAACAAAGAAAAUAGGGAUAGAAUAACGGGCAGAGAAUUAAGAGAUGAUGUCAGGUGAUUAGUUUUCUCAUCUAAAAGCUUGAAAAUCCUGCAUGUUUGUGGAGUGGUCAAACAGGUGGUGAAGAGGUGUGUGCAUAAAAUAAGUAGUACUCCUUGUAUUUCUUUUCACCAAUGCUCUUUGGAUCUGGACCCGCUUUUUCUUUGUUAAGUGUAUAGUUAAAUUAACAGGUUGAAAUUAGGUUUAGUUCUCAGGUUAGAUGCCCAAGAUGUUUGAUGGCAGUGUAAUAUGGUGAAGGGAGACUACUUGUUUCCUAGUUUUGGUAAACUUGGGCGAGAGAUUGUUCAGUGUCUCUAUACCUUCCUUAUCCGCAAGAUAAGGUAGUUAUAGUACCCUUCACAUAGGAUUGUUUUGAGCAUAACAUGGUAUUCAUGUGUAUGAAGAGCUUGGAGUAUUCACUGGGCAAACUAUUUGAUUCUACAAUAGCUGAUGAGGGAACAUGGACUUUGGAGGACAGAAAAAUGGUUCGUAUUGUUCUUACAAAGACAAAGAGAGAUGCAGCAAAUUGUUGGACUUCUCUACUAGAAUCUGAAUAUGCAGCGGAUCCUUGGGUGCAAGACCAAAUGC